AUCUGGGUCUGUGGGUAUGUGCAUAUGAAUGCUGGUGCCCAUACAGGCCAGGUGUCAGGUCCCCCACCUGAUGUGGGUGGGUGCUAGAUAUCAAACUCACUCGGGGCAAGCACUCUUAAUCCCUAAACCAUAACUUCAGCCUCCUCAUUUUAUUUUAUUUUAUUUUUUUUUAAGACAAGGUCUCAAGUAGUUCAGGCUAGCUUCAAGCUUCCUAUGUAGCCAAGGUUAAUCUUGAACUCCUGAUCCUCCUGCCUCCACUUCCUGGGCACUGAGAUUGUAGGCCUAUAUUACAACAACCAGCUUAAAAAGAAUUUUUUUUUUCAACACAAAAUGGAGGACUAGAGAGACAAAACAGACACAAGGACUCACAAAAUGGCAGAUAUAAAUCCCUCAUGUAAAAUGACUCAGCCAGGUGAGUCAGCCUUUGUCAUCAACCACACCAUGGCUGGCACAACAGAUGCAUGAGUUAAGUGACCCUGUGGCAGAAUGAGACUCUUGAGAGCCCAGUAGCCCAGGUUCUCACUUCCCAGGACUUAACUACUUAUUGCCUCUACUUGACAGCAAGAGAGGCCUGUGCAAGCCCUUGGUAUGUCAUCACACCCCCAAGAAACCAUCUAGUGACAAAAGCUGGACACUUUGGAAUCUUUCUUUGGUGAAUGAUUCAUUCUAACAAGAAUGGACAAGUAUUUGGACCAGGGGAUUCAACUUGCAACAAAGAAGUGAUGGUGGUGGUUAUCUGACAUGGAAUCUGCUGUCUCUAUUGCUCACCAGCUGCAACAGUGCCUGCUUGACUGCCUUACUCUGCAGAAAUGGAAUGCCAUUUUCCAGGUUGCCUAAGGACACAGGACAUCCGCCCCCCCCCCCGCCUUUUUUUCUUUAACUAUGGUUCUGUGUCUCCAGCAGGAAGAAUGUGUGGACCUGGGAAGCAAACUUGCUAUCACUCCCCUGGGCCCCAGAACUACUACUACUGUUCCGAUUCUGUAGGGCUACGGGACCUGGUUCCUAUCAUGGGACUCUUUCCACCAGGUGACGCAGCAGCAAUCCCUUUGAAUAACUAGUGCCUGAGCACUUUGUGUAUCUGGUAUCCAGAGACAAGGGGAACAGACUCCUUGAGAUUAUCCUCAUCAUCAGGAUCCCACGUCCCCCAUAUCCAACAGCCGAUCAAAGUAUGGUUCUAGAUUCAGACCUGGACCAGGGAAAUGGCUCAGUUGGUAAGGUGCUUGCUUUCUGAGUUUGAGCUCAGAAUCCACAUUAAAAAGCCAAGUGUGACAGCAUGUGCUUGUAACGGUGGAGAAAGGAGGAUCUCAUGGGACUCAGCAGCCAGCCUGGCCUACUUGGUGACCUCCAUGCCAGUGAGAGACCCUAUCUCAAAAAGCAGGAUGGAUGGCUCCUCAAGGACACACCUGAGGUUGUCCUCUAGCCUCCAUGUGCACGUGGACACAUGAGCAUGUGAACUCACACACACCCAAACAUGCACACACAUAACACAAUAAAAAUGGGUCCCAGCACUUUCAGCCUGGUUGGGGGCACUCUGGUUCCAGGCUCCUCAUGGGUCAUUUAAGGCUGCCGGUCAUCCUUCUAGCUUGUGUUUCCUUCCUCUACACUUGCUUCCUUCUCUUCCCUUCCCUUCCACAGGUGUCAAUUUCAAAGGCACUCCCUAAUAAACAUCCUGGAUGUUAAACAGUGACUCAGAGGCUUCUUCCUGUGGAGUCAAAGCUAUGAAGACGCCCUGUUGCCCCUAGAACUGUAAUGUGUUUUCCUCACUAAUGAGAACACUCAGAGCAUUUCAGCAAAAUCGUCUAAAUCAGGAUUUAACAAGUUUGCCUCUGAUCUCCAGACUCCACUGAAAUUGGCAAAGAUCUGGGUGGGAGGGAGAACUGUGGUUGGAAUGCAAAAUGAAAUUUUAAAAAAUUAAAGAUGGAGAAAAAAAU
Molecule: non-coding RNA, 1931 nt
Organism: Cricetulus griseus (Chinese hamster)
Lineage: Eukaryota; Metazoa; Chordata; Mammalia; Rodentia; Cricetidae
Source: RefSeq, a predicted model, not a curated record